AUGAUUUAUGUUUUUAGUUUCUUUUCGAUCCGUUGUUGUUUGUCUCGGAGUGCUCAGCACCAUCCAGAGGGGAAGGAAACUCCACGUCCUGGUCAGCCCAAAUCUAUGAUCUCCAUCUCAUUUAUCCCGGGUGUAACCAAGCUGUCCUGGGCCAGGGCUGGCCUCGGCUCGGCCAGGGCCGGCCUGAGCAAUGGCCGGCUCCACGCUCCAGUGGGCCCAGGCAGGGUUCAAACAUCUGCUGGGACCUCCCGUCUGACGGGCAUCUGAUCAGCCACGGGGAGGUAGACUGAUGAGACACACAUGGAGGAACCCUUAAUUAUGUUAUUCUCCUGUCUGGUUUUCAGCCUGAUGCUCAUUUAGAGGAAAGUGGGCUGAGACCUGGCAGAGUGUGUGUGCAUUCGUGAUAAAGAGAAGGGGGCGAGUCAGGUCACAGGAGGCUUGGGUGGCAGAGCAGAGAGAAGAGAUGGUUAGAAGAAAGUCAGAAAGUUAGUCCAUUGAAGUGGAUCAGCCACUUUCCUCUUGUGGUUUGGUUUACACGGCAACAUCUCUUUCAUUAUACAAAUGUUGACUUCUUUAGUUGGUAAUUGAAAAUACUGUAAUCAAGCAACUGGAUUGUCUCAUGCACAAAAUCAAUUGCCUUUUCUUUUGAAUUAUCCAAGUUAUUGAUUUACCAAGUAUGCCUUAAUAUAAUGACAUGCUCCUCGAGAUUGGCAUGAAUCCCUUUCACCGAAGCCAGUGAUUCAAUUUGAAUGCAUUAGUCCUCCAUUCAACUCAGUCUUAUGUAUUUGCUUUUCAACCCAAGAGCCUGUGAAUGAGAUGGUAGAAUGUAUUCAUUAUGCGACAGCGUAAUUCUGUUUUCCACCCAUUUGCUCUGUUUGUCUAUCUAAAUAUCUGACUGUAAAGACACUACAGCGUGAUGAAUGGAGAGGCGGUUCGCCAACCCUCUCCGAAAAGCUGUUUCGCCUGAAAGCCAUUCAUCACACACUGAUACAAAGCAGAAGAACAGAGCUUGUUAAAAUGGUUCAUGGCACUGUAACUGUCUGAGAAGUGACCAACAAUUCUUUUUAGUAGCGGAUUCCUUGUCUGUCGUUUAUAGGUCAGACCAGCGGCGGCCGUGUUCACCUGGAAAUGAGCUGACAUGUCUCCCUGCAAAACUAAACUUAUUAAAGUACUCCAUUCUCUCGUUUCUUCUGUUUCAGACUGCAAGCUUGGAGAUUCACACACAUGAAACAGCAUACACACAGCACUUCAUGUUCUCACACACACACACACACACACACACACACACACACACACACACACACACACACACACACACACACACACACACACACACACACACACACACACACACACACACACACACAGUGGACAACCCGGAAGGAUUGCUAUCGGCAGCCAACAAAGAGGAAGACUGCGUGAAAUGGGACCUUUCCAGUAUAACAGUCACAACUUCCCUCUAUGGUACACACUGGUGGAGCUGAAUAUGACUGCACAUGUUAUAGUUUGUUUAUUUGUAUGUGUGAGAGAGACUGUGUGUGUGUAGCAGGCACAUUAGUGUGUGCACAGGUACAUUGUUUUAAGUGUGUGAACGUUUCCUCUUUUUUGUUGUUUGUUUCUGUAUAGCGACCACUUGUAAAUUGUGACAUGUGUCAAGGGUUUGUAAGCUGUAACUUUCUGAAAACUAUUGUACUAAAAUGCACUCAAUAAAGGCCUUGGGAAACAAGUUACUCACUCAAUGGUCUGCGACUCACUGGGUGAUCAUUCUGUUUUCAGAAAUGGUGAGUCGAAAAACAGCAGGAAGGAAGGGGGUUUUAUCCAGUAACACUGCUGUCAGCACUGUGCAUGAAUUUGACACCCAAUGAUUGGUUUCAUAGUGGCUGAGGAAAUAAACAGCUUUGUGUCACUGCCGGUCUGGCUGGCGGCACGUGUUCCAACCCAUCAGCCACUAAUAAAUGAGCCGUCACUCGGAUUACACGCAAAUGCAAAAAAAAAUGAAAAAUACUCUCCAGGAGAAGUGACAAUAUUUUGACAAACUAGAGGAAAUUAUACUUCCAUCAAAACUCUUAUCUGGGUCUCCAAUACACAUUCAGUGCAAAUGCACAGGCAGUCACAGUUGUCUCGUAAAUUAUGUUUGCCCAGGACUUUUCGAGCACUUCAAACACUGGGAAGUGUGCUGCACAGUAAUGAUAUGGUUAAUGAGGUGAGUCAAAAGAUAUGGGGAUGUAUCCAACUCACAGCGCUCCUCCAUAACUGUUUAUUAGUUCUAAUUGAUUGAUAAUAUCCAGCUUCAUAUUAGCCGAGAGACUGCUCUGCGGGGACUGUGCCGAAC
This is a long non-coding RNA of Scophthalmus maximus (turbot), 2332 nucleotides long. The record is from Ensembl. NCBI's taxonomy places the organism in Eukaryota, Metazoa, Chordata, Actinopteri, Pleuronectiformes, Scophthalmidae.